UACGUAAGGAAAGCGGAAGCCGGGAAUGGAAAGCCCGGUGCAAGCGGGGUACCAGCCACUUUGGCAAAUCCGGGUGGCAAUGGGAAGCCGUGAUGCGGAGCGAAAUAAAGUAGCGAAGUCCGUGAGCCAUGCGUCAAGAAAAGCCGCUAUUGUUUAUACCGUACCCGUACCGUAAACCGACACAGGUGGAUGAGGAGAGAAUCCUAAGGCCGGCGGAAGAAGCAUUGUCAAGGAACUCGGCAAAAUGGCCCCGUAACUUAGGGAUAAGGGGUGCCUGGGAAACCAGGCCGCAGAGAAUAGGCUCAAGCAACUGUUUAGCAAAAACACAGGUCUAUGCGAAACCGAAAGGUGAGGUAUAUGGGCUGACGCCUGCCCGGUGCUGGAAGGUUAAGAGGAGAGGUUAGCGGUAACGCGAAGCUUUGAAUUUAAGCCCCAGUAAACGGCGGCCGUAACGAUAACGGUCCUAAGGUAGCGAAAUUCCUUGUCGGGUAAGUUCCGACCCGCACGAAAGGCGUAAUGAUUUGAGCGCUGUCUCGACAAUGCAUCCGGUGAAAUUGAAGUACCAGUGAAGAUGCUGGUUACCUGCGCCAGGACGGAAAGACCCCAUGGAGCUUUACUCCAGUCUGGUACUGGGACUCGGUAUUGCAUGUACAGGAUAGGUGGGAGGCUAGGAGAUGGUAACGCCAGUUGCCAUGGAGCCGCUGUUGGGAUACCACCCUUGCAGUAUUGGGUUUCUAACCAGCCGCCGUGACCCGGCGGUGGGACAAUGCCAGACGGGGAGUUUGACUGGGGCGGUCGCCUCCGAAAGGGUAUCGGAGGCGCCCAAAGGUUCCCUCAGAAUGGACGGAAACCAUUCGAAGAGUGCAAAGGCAGAAGGGAGCUUGACUGCGACACCGACGGGUGGAGCAGGUACGAAAGUAGGGCUUAGUGAUCCGGUGGUAUUAAGUGGGAAUGCCAUCGCUCAACGGAUAAAAGCUACCCUGGGAUAACAGGCUUAUCACUCCCAAGAGUUCACAUCGACGGAGUGGUUUGGCACCUCGAUGUCGGCUCAUCGCAUCCUGGGGCUGUAGUAGGUCCCAAGGGUUGGGCUGUUCGCCCAUUAAAGCGGUACGCGAGCUGGGUUCAGAACGUCGUGAGACAGUUCGGUCCCUAUCCGGCGUGGGCGUAGGAUAUCUGAGAGGAGCUGUCCUUAGUACGAGAGGACCGGGAUGGACGGGCCGCUGGUGCAUCGGUUAGACUGCCAAGUCUACGGCCGAGUAGCCAAGCCCGGAAGGGAUAAACGCUGAAGGCAUCUAAGCGUGAAGCCCCCCUUAAGAUGAGAUAUCCCAUUCGAAAGAAGUAAACCCCCUUGAAGACGACGAGGUAGAUAGGGCAGAGGUGGAAGUGUGUAACACAUGGAGCUGACUGUUACUAAUCGGGUGAGGGCUUGACCUA
This 1434-nucleotide ribosomal RNA is filed under the name metagenome. Its description in RNAcentral is "bacterial LSU rRNA". It matches the Rfam family "Bacterial large subunit ribosomal RNA", at positions 1473 to 2925 of the family's 2925-position model. The record is from RNAcentral.